Non-coding RNA from Schizosaccharomyces pombe (fission yeast), 1300 nucleotides. NCBI's taxonomy places the organism in Eukaryota, Fungi, Ascomycota, Schizosaccharomycetes, Schizosaccharomycetales, Schizosaccharomycetaceae. The record is from the annotation of a GenBank genome assembly.
CGUAAAAACGGAUAAAUGACUGCCUCUUUCAAGGAAUUUUUAGCGUCAUCUAAUCCGGCAAUGUCCGACCAGUAGACAGGUUCAUGGUUAGAAAUAAUUUCAUUCAUAAUAGCAUAUUCAAAAUCACUUGAAGGAGUGGUCUGUUGAAGAGGUUCAGUUUGUUGAGUAGUACUAGCUGAGAUAGUUUUUGACACAAUUGUCUUAGAAUCAGCGGUUGCCGGAGGAGAUGUAGCAGGUGAUCCGGCUGUGUCAGCGGAAGACGGUCGAGUGGAAGAACCAAGGGUAUCAUGAGAAGAGUUUAAGUAUGGUUUAUAUGGGCUAGGAUGCUUGCGCGAUUUUCCAUCGCUGGAUGAAUGCGAUGCAGACGUAAGGGGGACGGCAGGAACAUGGAGUGGAGGAAUUGGCGCAUGGAAGGAGAGGGGAGUGCUAUUGUUAGCAUUUUGAUUGUUUGACACCUGAAUAGAAGGGCUAGAUACCGAAUUGGAAAGCGUCGGUUUAGUCGUAGACUGACUUUUCAUAGCGGUAGGAAAAGUGGUGGAAUUCAUGGUAGCAGAACGACCUGUAUCAGAAGAAAGAGCAGAAGCAGAAGCGGCAGCACUCUUAGAAGCAGCAGCAAUGGCCGAAGCAGAAGAAUUGAAAGAGGCAAAGGGAUCUUCGGGUUUGAGGGGUGGAGAACGGUUUGGCUUAGAGGGUGCCAGAUAAGAAGGUGCAUCUCCAUAGGAAGAAGAAACAAUGGAUGAAGUGGAGGUAGAAGGAGGCGAAUGCUUGGAAUAUAUUUGCUUAGGCGUAGAUAAAUUUACCUCCGACUGCGCACCUCUCGUCUGUCUGUACAUCAUCCUAGUAGUCAUGGGGGUAUACGCAGGUGUUUGAGAUCUUACUGGACGUAAGGGGUGAAGAUCAACGGGCGCCUUCUUUGAAAGUUUGGCUGCAAGUUGAUAAUUUUGCCUUUCCAUUUCACUUUCCAAAAUCGUCUUACGCAGCUUGCUUGCCUUGCUCAAACAGUUGUCAUAGAGCCCGUUCCAAGAACAUGCCUCUGCGCCCGUCAAAGGUCCCAAUCCCAUGCGAUCGCGAGCUGCCGACGACUUCUUCAUCUCCUCUAAAACCUUGCAGUAACUCACAUACGCACCAGCCCAAUCCCUAUUUCCUUCACACAAUAAUGCUCUUGAUGCUAUCGGUAGUAUUCUAUCCAAGUCUGAGUCCAUUUUCCGCAGUCGACUCGUCAAUGGCUUUUUUGCUUUUGGCAAGUUCAAAUGUCAAAAGUGCUGUCUUGUCGUUAAAAAUCCCAUAGAAUGUUCGAAGU